AUGAACGCUGGCGGCGUGCCUAAUACAUGCAAGUCGAGCGAACAGACGAGGAGCUUGCUCCUCUGACGUUAGCGGCGGACGGGUGAGUAACACGUGGAUAACCUACCUAUAAGACUGGGAUAACUUCGGGAAACCGGAGCUAAUACCGGAUAAUAUAUUGAACCGCAUGGUUCAAUAGUGAAAGACGGUUUUGCUGUCACUUAUAGAUGGAUCCGCGCCGCAUUAGCUGGUUGGUAAGGUAACGGCUUACCAAGGCGACGAUGCGUAGCCGACCUGAGAGGGUGAUCGGCCACACUGGAACUGAGACACGGUCCAGACUCCUACGGGAGGCAGCAGUAGGGAAUCUUCCGCAAUGGGCGAAAGCCUGACGGAGCAACGCCGCGUGAGUGAUGAAGGUCUUCGGAUCGUAAAACUCUGUUAUUAGGGAAGAACAAAUGUGUAAGUAACUAUGCACGUCUUGACGGUACCUAAUCAGAAAGCCACGGCUAACUACGUG
This 496-nucleotide ribosomal RNA is filed under the name uncultured bacterium. Its description in RNAcentral is "partial 16S ribosomal RNA". It matches the Rfam family "Bacterial small subunit ribosomal RNA", at positions 29 to 507 of the family's 1533-position model. The record is from RNAcentral.